This 1995-nucleotide long non-coding RNA is filed under the name Bemisia tabaci. Its description in RNAcentral is "lncRNA ENSSSA1UGG010791". The record is from RNAcentral. Lineage: Eukaryota; Metazoa; Arthropoda; Insecta; Hemiptera; Aleyrodidae.
GGGCCUCCAACUGCAUUCGUUAGAAAUAAGACAAAAUUAAAACCAGUGCUAUGCUUAAACUUGCGUCACAUUCUCCUCCGUUCCAUCAAUUUUUCAGUUUUGCGUAUCACAAAACCAUGUCUUGAUAAUUAAGCGUAUUUAUACCAAAAAGAACUCUGUACAAACAAAUGAAAUCAAAACAAACUAUGCACGUAAUAUUUGUAAUUCCUUCGCAUUUAAUUAGUUUGUACUUACUAACCUUUAGCAUAAAUGUGUCAAGUUGGAUCUUAUUUGUAUAGUAUAAAGAAAGAAAGCAACGCAAACUUUGAAUGUUCUAGAUAUAUCAUUAUAAUGGUGAUUCUUGAUAUUUUCUGUAUCCCUGCUUUCAGCCUACUCUGAAUUACCAAAGAGUGCAACGAGAAAUGCUCAUUAGCAUGGGGUUACCAUUAUGAAUCCAACGAUAAAGUAUGCACAGAUCUAGUGUUUGCGAAAGGGAAAGUAACUCCCAUCACGAAAGGAACAACAAUCAAAACAUCCAUGGUUAGGAGUCUCACCGGUUUUGUCCAAGCUGCUGGAGAGGUGAUGCAUUUAAAGAAACCUGGGUAUACGUGUUUCUGCAUGACAACGAAGGCAUUCCAUUCCGUCCUUCAAACCAAGUUAAACACUUUGCCUGACGAUUUUGAAAAAAUGAGGAAAGACCUGAAAAAGGAUCCUGAUGGGGCGAGCAAAAUCCUGAACCAGAUAUACCCUGAAGAAGAUCGAGUUAUGGUCCACUAAAAAAUGGCAUGUUCCUAACAACACCAUUUACUUAGCGGUUUUUCUCCUCUUUUAUAUGUGAUGACGACGUCUCUGCAAUAGCACAUAUCCACCUAGAAUUAUGCCUCCAGAAAGUUAAGUUCUCUUAGAGAUGGUUUUAAAAUAUAAGUAUUAUAGUCCUUAGAGUUUUACUAACUUUUCUAGAAUGGUCUAAUCCACAGUUUUCAUUUUUCUAUUGUAAAUAAAUUGAUUCUGCAUUCGUUUACAACUUGUUUACAUUAUUUUCUUUCUGCUUUCGUAGUAUCUGUUUCCCUUCUUCUUUAUUCUCUUGGAUUUGCCAUUUGGAACAUACUGCUCUAAACUAAAAUUUUGCGAGAAAUACAGUUUUGUAGAUUUUCCUGCUCAAAAUCCAAUCUUGAGCUCUUCAGACAGUUCCUGGCGUUAAUUCCUUGUACCUAGGUCACUUUUGUAACUUCAUCGAGGGCUACUUCUGCCAUGAGUCACACUCAGAACAUGUUUAGCAUUCAUAUGCAAAUGGGUCAAACAUUCCGUGGGAUGUCAUGAACUUGGAGCAUCCAUCAUGCCAAAUAACAUGACUACGUGGUAAAAUGAUUGAAAAAAUAAUCGUGCUACAAGCCAAGAAUAAAUUAGACAAAUAAUACUUCAAACUACAUAGAGAUGAGAAAUACCAAAAAAUUCACAGGAAACAAAACGAAACAAACGUUUUGACCGCCUACAACUGCGGUCUUCUUCAGUGCAACAAGUGGAAACAUUUUACAAAAACAAAUUUAAAAAAAUAUAUAAAAAAGCUACAAAACUAUUAGCCAAACGAAGUAAAGCGAAAAUACAAGUCUAUUGCAACUACAUUUUGGAAUAAAAUAAAAAUAAGGCAAAAUUCAAGAGGAAAGAAUAGUGAUAGCAGUGAUAGGAAGGAAGUAGGUAAAUAAUAAACCAAAGACAAACAAAACACAGUUGUUGGCGGUCGAAACGUUUGUUUCGUUUUGUUUCCUGUAAGAUUUUUGGUAUUUCUUAUCUCUUUCUUAUCUCUUUCUUAUGCCGCAAAAUCCAAGACGGGAUGUUAAGUUGGGUUCACUGCCGAGUGUGAUCUACUGAUGAGUUCUAAAAAGGCCCAAACCGGUAUAGAUCUCUCGACGUGACUCCAACUUAAUACUCAAAUGCAAACUGCCUGAGCUGAACACUCUUUCCCCUCAGUUUCGUACUGGUGCGCAUUAGAGUUCAAAAAUUUAAUUUUGACUCUAA